ACUUUAUACACGAUUGCAUAUUAUUUUCAAUAGCGUCUUGGCUGAAUAAACAACUUUGCAACUCCCCAACUUCUCUGAAUGAACGAUUUUCGGUUCAACAUGGAUCCCACAAUUCUACCAAUUUCGAAAUUCGGGGAUUUUAAAGUAAAAUCUCACGUGGUGAUAAGUAGAACAUUGAAUUCUGGGAAAUGGUUCAGGUAUGGAAUGAACGCAAUAUGACUUACCGCAGUAGUGCUGCUAGUCCUCGAUCCAAGGUGCAGCUGCUGACAGGGUCUUUAUAAAGAGCCAAGACUGCAAAAAAAAGAAAGAAAAAGAGAAACCUUCGAUCAAGUAAAUCGUUACAAAAUCGAAUUCGUUGCACACGACGAAGAAAUCGAGUGUUUUCGAGCAAGUGACAGAAAGAAGCAUCUAAAAGUGGAGCGUCAGGAAUCAGGAGCAGAUUGUGCAUUAGUAAUAAUGUUUAACAAAUGGCAGCCUAUUGUACUCGCAUAUAAACAUUAAUUGUCAAUGCUUUAAUUUAUACAUUUUUAUGUUACAUGUACAUUGGUCUGCUCACCCAACCAGCAUUUUGACUCUUUUAAUUGAAAUAACAUGCUGUGUAUAUUUUUGAAAUUGCACUUGAAAAGUUGUUUGUGCUUAAUCAUUGUAUUUCGUGCAUUUUUGUGGAAUUCUUGCCAAGAGGUCAAUAAAUUAAAUAUCUUUGCCACCCUAAACCACUUACUUGCCUGAUUUUAUUACCUCCUAACUGUUGUUAACCUAUCUUUAGUUUAAAACACACAUGUUUAGUCAGUUUUAUAUGCUGUUUGGAUCAAGUCGGCGUUUAAUUCAACUUUGAGCUUUUAACAGUGAAAAUUACAUUAAUACAUAUUUGCAAAGUGUUUGCAUUGCCACAAUGAAUCUUUGUUAUUUUACUUUGAACAGCUAUUCAAAAUUAGGAUCACUACGUUGAAUUAUUUAAUAUUUGCAUUCUUAUUUUAAAAUCAGUGAUUUCAUUGAAACUAAGUUCUCUUCGAUUGCAAUAAAAAGUGGGGAAGCUGAUAUCUUUAAUAAUGAAAAUUGUUGUGUUCUUUCAUAUGAUUCUGCUAUUGGUCCCGAGUAAAAUAUUCGUUACACUUUACCCCAAAAGGCAUCAAUUCCGGAAAGAUAAAAUACACAAAGCGUUCUGAUCUCCCGGAAUAAAAUGUUUCCCUCCGUCCGAAAGCUGCAACAGUUACGCACGUUGAAUCGUUAACCUUUCCUAUCGAAUGAAUUGAAUUGUAAAUAUUUAAAAGGGUUAAAUACGAAAUGUGAGAAAUGGAAAAGUAAUACUGUUCGUCGAAUCUUAAUAAUAAAGAUUGCGCACUUAUGUGUGACUAGACGCCAGCAGCGCAGCAGAACAAAGGAGAAGGAAAACUGGGUGCGGGUUAAAGCAGGAAUUCACCUGCUGGUUGUAAUAAACGAAAGUCUUCGGUGUUUUCAUAUAAAACAUUAAAAUUAGUUGAAUUAUACAGUUGUGUUAACUUUAAUUGUUUUUCGGCAUAUUUAUUCGUCGGCAGGGUUCCAUUCCUGGGACAAAUGCAAUCGAAAAGGUUUAGUUCUUUGCUGCGGACUGCUAAACUCAUAAAUUAUUUACCUUGUCUGGGAAACAAAUGUUCAAGAAUCAUUGGUUGCCAUAAUGGGCUAUGGUUAAAAUUUGUUUUCUUUUUGCUAAAUUAAUAUGAAUUCCAAAGGAAAAAAAAAGACGGAAAAGAGCGUUGAGAUCGAUGCAUGGAGAGGGUCUGAAUUAGGACUCCUGAAAUCACAUAUACACGCACACACGCACAUUCACUGUUGAGUAAAAUACAUUGAGAAUUAUUCUUCCAGUGAACUAAUUUACAGUCGUUGAGUAUCAGGAGGACACUUAAACAUUUGCAGUUGGGCUAAGUGGAUAAAAAAAAGGGAAAAGAAAUAAAAUAUGACUCAGUUCAUUGUGACAGAUAUAAGCCUCUCUCUGAAUGACCUUUCCUUGAAUAGUAAUAACUCACCACAUUAAUGAUCAAUCAGCGGGAAGGUUUGAAAUGUGUCCAAAAUAACAAUCCGUCCCACUAUCCCAGGCUUUCUCUGCGAUCGCAUAUAAUCCUUUUAUAAGAGGGCACUCUACGUUGUUAUUGUUUCCGUAGAAGCUGUUUGCAAAGGUUUCAAGGAGAAUGCCAGGAGAUUGAGUUGAGGAAGUUUAAGCGGUCAACAUUGGAUGGACCUCAGUUUGGAAACUUUCAAAGUCGCGAGUAUAAUAGCUAAACACUGUUUACCCAGGUCAUAAAUCAUGUGCACAUUCAUCUUGAGGAUAACACCCUAUCUAAAAAUGCUUUUGAAGCUUUUUGCACGAAUUCAGAGGUGUCAAUGGCCAUCAAAGGAGCAUUUUUUGGCAAAUGAAGAAAAUCGACAUCCCAAAGGCCUGCCAAUCAUAGAGCAACUGCGAGUUUUCGUUCUUUCCCCUCUUCAUUUACAAGCACAGAACCAAUAUUCAGAGAUGGAGGAAACAGAUUAUGUGCCACAUUCUUUUAAGCCAUAUAAACUUUAUCAAACUAU
Chiloscyllium plagiosum (whitespotted bambooshark) is the source of this 2547-nucleotide long non-coding RNA. RefSeq lists it as uncharacterized. Lineage: Eukaryota; Metazoa; Chordata; Chondrichthyes; Orectolobiformes; Hemiscylliidae. The record is from RefSeq and is a predicted model, not a curated record.